This 4513-nucleotide long non-coding RNA is filed under the name Mytilus galloprovincialis (Mediterranean mussel). Lineage: Eukaryota; Metazoa; Mollusca; Bivalvia; Mytilida; Mytilidae. The record is from RNAcentral.
AGAUUAUUUGAAGAGAUGAAAAUAUUCUUUAGUUUUGAUAUGCAGAUUCCCUCAUCAGAUACAGUACUGGUACAUGAAAUAGGGAAAUGGCUACGAAUGGCAGGAUCUCUAACAAAAUGUGUCAUAGUUUUUGAUGCUGUUAAUCAACUGGAUGACGGAUCUGGAGUAGGCGGUUCGUUGACAUAUAAUAAAUACGAUUUUAAGUUCUUGAAUAACCUGUUAUCUGAAAAUUGUUCUUUAAUUAAUAUAAGUAAAAUUCAUCUUCCAAUGUUUAGAUAACAUUAAAAUAUUACAUGUACGACAUUUGCAUUAAUCAUUGCUUAUAGUUAUGUUUAAAUAUCUUUGUCAGAUGAGUUAAGGAAAACGAAAAUCCCUUCCCUCAAAAUUUGAUAAUUAUUCAAUGUAUUAUUCAUAAUAAUUGUGAAAUUAUUCAAACAUAGUUAAUUCUUGUCUAUAAAAUAUUGAUAAUAUCAUAUAAAUAAAAUUAUUCCUUUCAGCAGCUAGAAAAAAUGACGACUACAUAAAUAUGCAAAUAAGGAACUGUUAUAUGAUUUUGUAUGAGACAACUUUCCUGCUAAGAACGAGGGUAUAAACAACUACAGGUCACAUCACGGCCUUUAAUGAUGAAUAAAACCCAUACGCAUACCCACAAAUAGUAUUUAUUUAUUGUCUCACCCUAUUUUUGUGUUAUUUGUCAUCAAUAUGACUUCAUUACAGUGGACUGAAAUCUAUUUGUCUAAACAAGUUAUUGGCUGAGAUAGUCUGUAUGUCUAUAAGCCUAAAAUUUGGAAAACCAAAUGCAACGUCGGACGGUUUAUAAAAAAAAAUGUUACACCAGCAAGACUUUGAAAUCGGUUGUAAUAACCUGUAUCUCCAAUGCCUUUCAGCCUUCAGAAAGGUAGAAUAAAAACUAAGUAUACCCAAAUCUAUUAGAAAAUAAUAUGAUAUAGGAUAAUUAUCAAACGACAACUAUCCACCGAUAACUAAAUGACACAGAUGGCAUAGUCGUAGUAAUGUAAGAUUAUUAUAUCUCCCAUAAUAAACGCUGAAAUAAUAUUGAUAUUUAACUUUUUACAGAAAGUACUGAACAUGAUUUGUUGUGGAUACCAUCAGAAAUUCCUCCCAAUGUUUUUCUAUUGAUAUCUACGCUUCCUGGUAGGGUAAGUAACAUUUUUAUAUAAAAUAUAAAAAAGGGGGGAUUAACUUUAUAAGUUUCUCAUAGUAAAGUUCUGUUAUAUGCAUUAUAAGUGUUAUCCGAUGCCUUUAUCGUUUAAUGCUAAAAUAUAUUCAACAUUGAAAUCAAAGCAAAUGCUUAACGUCAUGUAAGUUGAAUUUAUAAUAUGUAUGACAACUAAAAAAGGUAUAUUUACUAAAGAAAAAGUGCAUCUAUAGAAACUGGAUUGCUUUCAGAAGUUUAAUAGUGGACUGUCUAGUGAAAUCUUAACAACCAUCUGUAAUAAUUAGAAAUCAAAGGUACCAGGUUUAUAAUUUAGUACGCCAGACGCACGUUUCGUCUACAUAAGACUCAUCAGUGACGCUCGUAUCAAAAUAUUUAUAAAGCCAAACAAAUAUAAAGUUGAAGAGCAUUGAGGAUCCAAAAUUCCAAAAAGUUGUGCCAAAUACGGCUAAGGAAAUCUAUGCCUGGGAUAAGAAAAUCCUUAGUUUUCGAAAAAUUCAAAGUUUUGUAAACAGGAAAUUUAUAAACAUGACCACAUUAUUGAUAUUCAUGUCAGCACCAAAGUAUUGACUACUGGGCUGGUGAUACCCUCGGGGACGAAACGUCAUUGCCAAAAUGCAAAACGCAUACUUUUGCUAAAAUAUAGGAAUGAAAAUAGUAAAUUAAGGCAACAUAGUCUACCAAUGUUUAACUCUCAUCAAUCGAUUCAAAAUAUAGAUCAAGGUCACAAACAAGAUUUGAGUGAAUCGAAUAAAGAGGGGGGGGGGGGGUAGUACCUUUCUAUCCCAUCGAAUUGGAGAUAAAGGAUACUACAGAUACAGUUAAGUCGGCUUCAUAUCUUGACUUACAUCUAGAAAUUGACAAUGAGGGUCGGUUGAAAACAAAACUUUACGACAAAAGAGAUGAUUUCAGCUUUCCAAUUGUGAACUUUCCAUUUCUAAGUAGCAACAUUCCAGCAGCACCUGCAUACGGGGUAUAUAUCUCCCAAUUGAUACGAUAUUCCCGUGCUUGCAUUUCCUAUCAUGAUUUUCUUGAUAGAGGGUUAAACCAAGAGUUCCAAAUGGUGAAGUUGAAAUCAUCCCUUCGUAAAUUUUACGGACGCCAUCACGAGUUGGUUGACCGUUAUGGAAUAACCGUUUCACAAAUGAUAUCGGAUAUGUUCCUUACGUCGUAACUACAAUCCCCUUCCCUUUCAUGAAUGUGACCUACCGAAUUAGACUAUUUACCGGAUUUGUAAUCACAUAAGCAACACGACGGGUGCCACAUGUGGAGCAGGAUCUCCUUACCCUUCCGAAGCACCUGAGAUCACCCCUAGUUUUUGGUGGGGUUCGUGUUGUUUAUUCUUUAGUUUUCUGUGUUGUGUCAUGUGUGCUAUUGUUUUUCUGUUUGUCUUUUUCAUUUUUAGCCAUGGCGUUGUCAGUUUGUUUUAGAUUUAUGAGUUUGACUGUCCCUUUGGUAUCUUUCGUCCCUCUUUUAUGUUAACCUGUUAUGGCCUUUUUCAAGGUGGUGUUAACUAUUAUUUGAGAUAAAUUGAAACUGAUUACUGUUUAUAACCCACUUUGUUAACUGUUAUCAGCCUUUUUGCAUUUGUUGUUAACUGUUUUUGCCAAAAUCGAGGUGUUGUUUACAUGUAAAUGCACCCCUGUUGCCCCCCUCAAUAAACGCGAGACCGGGUGCGGUGACAAGAUACAUCACCCAGUAUAGGAUAACAUUUAAAUCAUUCUUUUAUUUAAAUAUAUAUUUUGUUAUUUAACUUGAACGCAAUUUUUUACAUAACAAUCAGGUUGUUAAAGCCAAAAAAAGAGUGAAAUCAUAUGUAGCAUCUGAACCAUUCAAUUUAUUAUAUUACAGGCAAUGAACGCCUGUACUGAAGCUGGAUUUCCAAGUAUGAGAGUAAGUCCUCUUCAAGAAUCAGAGAAAAUGCAGAUCAUCACAGAUUAUUUGGAAGGAAUUUACGGAAAAACUUUGACUAUGGAACAAAAAGGAAUGAUCAUCAAUGUAAAACAGACAUCAAAUCCACUUUACCUGAAAUCUCUCCUAGACGAGGUAGAAUUUUCUGAUCAUUUUAAGACUAAAAUUACCAACUUUUUACAAUACAUGACAGAUAAUUUCAGGUUUUAUGGAACGUUAUUCAUAUUAUACUAACUUGAAGAUUCCCCUUAUUUUAAAAAGUUUGUAAAAAAAAUUUAAAAAAUAGUAACAAAAAUAAUGGAUAAUCUGUUUAGUCUUUACACAAAUAUUUCAUUGAAACAAACUGGACACAGAAAUAUGACUUAUAAUAUUAAACGAGAAAUGUUGUCAUUUGAACCAUGAUAAUUUCCGUAUUGAAAAUAUAAAAUUCGCAAAUUUCUGUUAUCGUAUACAAAGAGAGCCAAACAAAACAUAUAUAAAUUAUUAAACAAGGACUGCUACAUCGAGUUCACUUUCGUUUUACAGGUCCGUAUGUUUGGAUCAUUCAGAACACUGACAAACAAAAUUUCUGAGUAUUUAUCAGCUGAAAGUCCACAGGAUCUUUUUGCAAAAAUCCUUGAAAGAUUGGAAGAAGAAUUCGAGAAGGGACAAACUCCAAGGUAUUUGGUUAAUCAAUGUGUACCUCUACAAAUGGUUAUGCAUCGGGUUUCAAUUGUUUAAUCAUGUUGCCCUUUGGUGGAACAUAGACCAUUAAAGAUAUUUCUCCACCUGUUUUAUGUAUCCUCCCCAGAUCAUGCCACAUAUACCAUUCUUCCCCAUCUCGGCUGCAACGUUUUUUCUCUAGGUGUAUGUUAAUCUGCCCCUGCCACGCAUUCUUUGUGGGUUCCACUCUAAGGCUUGUCUUGUAAUGCUGGUUUUUUUUUUUGCUUCCUCGGUAUGUGCUCUAUCCAUAUCAAUUUUCUCUUUUUUAAUUCCUUCGAUAACUAUUAAUUCAUCAUCAACUAGGGAUUGGUUGGUCUUUUCCUGCAGAUCUUGGUUUGAUAUCUUCUAAGGCCAUCUGAUGUCAAGAAUGUUUCUUUUAAAAUUGUUUUUUAUGUCUGCAUUCUAUUAAUGUUAUGAUUUAUAAGUUGGUAUUGGCUUUCAACAAUAUAUGUAUUUUACAAACUCUCAGACUACUAAGUCAAAUUUUUGUGAUAUUGCCCUAUAUCAUUUUUUUUAUAGUUACGAAAUCUGAUAUUCUAUUUGAAACAGUUCAGCUUUUUAAAUUACAAUAAGUUUUUUACAGAUAAGGCGUUGUAAGAACUUAAGCACAUUAUUUGACACAGUUCAACUUUUUAAUUUACUUGUUUUACAGAAAAGAUCUUGUGCGUGAUGCUACAACUGCUUUGUGGUGCUCCAACAGAGGAAUGUCUGAGUCAGAGCUUG